UUUUAAUUUCAUGAUAAAGAAAAAAUGAUUAUUAUCAAUUUUGAUAUUUUUGAUUUAAUUUUUCAGUAUUUAAAGUAUUUUACAUUUUUUGUUUUGUUUAAUUGAAUAAUAAUUUCACUACAGUGUACAGUAUACAAAUUUCAAAUCUAAACAGUUCUCCUUAGAUGUGGUUUUUGUGCAAUGUAUAGACAAAGAAUUAAAAUCAUCGCAAAAAACAAGUUAAUAUCAUGCUAUCUACAACAAUUACAUACCUACUCAAUUCAUCUUUAGUCAGCAAGAUACAAUAAUUGACAUAGGCAUUUGUCCAGGACAAUAAGGAGAUUAUUCUGUUUUGAAAAAAGCUUUUUACUAACAAAUGUUAAGUUGUAAACUUACACAUC
Long non-coding RNA from Aphis gossypii (cotton aphid), 380 nucleotides. RefSeq lists it as uncharacterized. The record is from RefSeq and is a predicted model, not a curated record. The transcript is spliced from 3 exons. Lineage: Eukaryota; Metazoa; Arthropoda; Insecta; Hemiptera; Aphididae.